GGUGAGAUGGCCGAGCGGUCCAAGGCGCCAGACUAAGGUGAAAUGUUACGUGGAAAUUGAACCAUCUGGUCUCUUCGGGGGCGGGGGUUCGAAUCCCCCUCUCAUCA
Lyophyllum atratum is the source of this 107-nucleotide non-coding RNA. NCBI's taxonomy places the organism in Eukaryota, Fungi, Basidiomycota, Agaricomycetes, Agaricales, Lyophyllaceae. The record is from the annotation of a GenBank genome assembly.